Molecule: ribosomal RNA, 686 nt
Filed under: uncultured bacterium
Lineage: Bacteria
Description: bacterial SSU rRNA
Rfam family: Bacterial small subunit ribosomal RNA
Source: RNAcentral
AACGCUAGCUACAGGCUUAACACAUGCAAGUCGAGGGGUAGCAGGGUAGCAAUACCGCUGACGACCGGCGCACGGGUGAGUAACACGUAUCCAACCUUCCCAUAACUCGGGGAUAGCCUUUCGAAAGAAAGAUUAAUACCCGAUAGUACUUAAGAAAGGCAUCUUUUUUAAGUUAAAGAUUUAUUGGUUAUGGAUGGGGAUGCGUUCCAUUAGAUAGUUGGUGAGGUAACGGCUCACCAAGUCUUCGAUGGAUAGGGGUUCUGAGAGGAAGGUCCCCCACAUUGGUACUGAGACACGGACCAAACUCCUACGGGAGGCAGCAGUGAGGAAUAUUGGUCAAUGGGCGAGAGCCUGAACCAGCCAAGUAGCGUGAAGGAUGAAGGUCCUAUGGAUUGUAAACUUCUUUUAUAGUAGAAUAAAGUGAACCACGUGUGGUUUUUUGUAUGUAUACUAUGAAUAAGGAUCGGCUAACUCCGUGCCAGCAGCCGCGGUAAUACGGAGGAUUCGAGCGUUAUCCGGAUUUAUUGGGUUUAAAGGGUGCGUAGGCGGAAUAAUAAGUCAGUUGUGAAAGUUUGCGGCUCAACCGUAAAAUUGCAGUUGAUACUGUUAUUCUUGAGUGUACAUAAGGUAGGCGGAAUUCGUGGUGUAGCGGUGAAAUGCUUAGAUAUCACGAAGAACUCCGAUUG